AAUAGAAGGGGUUAAAAGCAGCUCUGGACAGGGCUGUGGCUGGGGAUGGCUGACUGGGGAAGCAGCCGCAGCUGGGCCAUGCCCCAAUCAGGCCCCAGCUGGCCUGUAUAAAAAGGCUGUGAGCCAGAGGCCCAAGGAGUCAUUCUCUGGGCUAGGAGAGAGCAGGGUUAGGCUGCCUACUUUCCAGGGUACUGAGAGUGGUGCAGUACUGGGGAAGGAGCAGGCUAAGUGGGGGUGCAGGCUGGCAACACCCUAGGCUGUAGAGCCUGGUCCAAGGUCCAUAGAGGAAGGCAGCAGGUCUGAACCCCCUUACUUAUGAUGAGUGGCCUUUACAGUGCAAUCUGUUCUAGGGAGUGGGGGCUUGGUGAUGACUGGCAGUAGCUCAGACUGAGGCAAGGUGAGAAUAGUGGGUUGUGGGUUCCCCAGGAAGAGAAGAGGCAGAGUGUGGGGGGUACUGCCUGGGGGCAGAACCCAAGAGAAAGGGACACUGGUGUCUGUGAGGGACACAGGGGGCCAGAGCUGUGUGGAUCACUGGCUUGCAAAGGGUGCUCCAGACUGGAAAAGAGCUAAUUUCAAAUGAUCAGCAGAAGGCACUGCAGGGUAAACAGUUGCAGUUGGGGGGAAGACAACGUUUGGAAAUUCCACAUGGAAAAUGAAAUUCUGAAUUCCAGGGACUUACAAUAUAACGAGAUAAGCUCUGCUUUAGGGUGCAACUGAAAAGAGAUGCGCAGACUGACUGGAAAGAAAAGUUUCCCCACUGAGAUCACUUCUUAGCAAUAUAUUAAACCUUAUGUGACACAGAAGGCAAUGUAUUCAUCCGAUUAUGUCAACCUGGCCUUUUCACAUCAAGAUAGAUUGAUCUUUAAAAUGUAUGCCCUUCAUUUUGGCUCUCAGAAACGUGGUUUGAACCAACACGGACAUAAGGUAAAUGUGAAUGAAAGGCAGCUGAACAACAUUGUUAUGAUGUAUUAUAUCACAUGUAAUGAAAAUAUGCAAAGGUUGUAAAAAAGAUACCUGGUUUUCCACUAGCUAGAAACAAGAUAAUAUGAACGUUUGUCAGAUAUUCCCUGUCAGAUGACCAUUCCUUUUAUAAAAGUAGCCAAAGAUAACAAUGACUUUUGUUAUCAUGAAAAGUUUUCAUUUUAAGAUCUUUUAAAAUUCCUUUUCUACCCAGAAUAGAGUUAGCCAGUACUCUAAACACAUUAACAUGAUUGUUCAUGUGUGCUUCCCAGUUACUGACAUUACACAUGAAGGGCUUUGUGAGUUGGAUAUCGAUGCUUUGAUGUACCAGAAAUUAUUCUGUAGUAACAUUUUAUUCAUUUUUAGUAUAAUACAACAAAGUCCAUGAGUGGGACCUCUACCUGUUAGCUCAGUAUUCAUAAAACUGCUGCUUAUUGUACUGAAUAGAACUGAAGACUGGGAGUCAAAACACCUGAGUUCUUAUUCAUGACUUAACUUGUAACUCACUGUCAACUUUAAGCAAGUCAUUUAACCGGUUUAUGCCUCAGCUUACCCACUUGUGUUAUACUUACAGGGAUAUUAUGGGACAAAGGAUGAAAAACUUCAGUAGCAAUGAAAUUUCAUCUAUACGAUAUUGGUAUAUAUUGAUAGUAUUGACUGACUUUCUGCAAAAGUCUUAAAGUUCUUUUCUCGUGUGUGUGUCAUUGUAUUCACUAUUUAGCUCAGAUCGUGAAUACUUGAAACAAUAAUCAGAACACAAUUUGUGAGCAAUCCAUAGGCAGAAUUUGAUCACAGAAUAUACUCAGGGGUGAAAGUAAGUCUAGGGACUUGCCAGCAUGGGGCUGGGCUGGGGCUGGCUCUGGCCCCUGGAAGGGGUGGGGCAUCAGGCAGAAGGGGCAGGUCUGGGGAAGGUCAGAGCCAGCUCUGGUACACCCUGUACCUGCAAGUGCCUCCUUCCCCCUCCCUGGGGUAACAGCAGCAGCCAGGGGCUCUGGCAGCAGUCUAAAGGGCCCUGGGUGGUUGAAAGGCCCUUUAAAUUGACUCCCAGAUCCCUGCCACCACUUCCGCAGGGCUCCAGGGACAGGGCUCCAGUUGCCACUACCACCCUGGGCCCUUUAAAUCAUCCCUGGAGCCCUGCUGCUGCUUCCCCAGGGCUCUGGCAGACUCUGGGGGAUGAUUUAAAGGGCCUAGGGCUUGGCUGCUUUUACCACCCCGGGCCCUUUAAAUCUCUACCUCACCGCAGCUACCCCAGGGCUCCGGCAGUGGGGCUCUGGCAGCAAUUUAAAGGGCCAGGGACUCCAGCUGCUGCUGGGAGCCACAGGCCCUUUAAAUGGCACCUGGGGAAGCCGAUCCACCCCAGUACAGUGCACUGGCUCUUGCCGGUACACCAUACUGGGGCAUACUGGCUUAUUCACCUCUGAAUAUUCCCUGCAUACCUGAAUGAACAAAUUCAUACAAAUCUACAUUAGUUUGCAAAUUAUCCAUGAAGAGACAUAGGGCUACAUUUGUUGAAUAAAUUGUUCACUGCUAAGAGUUUGCUCAGAUCUAUUCUUCAGUGCUAUGUUACCUUGGCAGGAUGCCAUUUAGUUUUUGUUUGGGAUUUAAUUCUCCCCACUUGACAGAGUGGUACUGUUUGGAUUUUUUUUUUUACAUAAAAUAUUUUGUGGUUUGUUUUGCUGAAGUGUAACUGUUCUAACUAUUCUGGGCUUUAUUAUAUCUGACACAAAAUUGUGUUGAUAUUGGAAAUAAGAUUUGUCUUUUUGACCAUAAGUCUGUAAACGGGUUAUCCAGAUACCACUGUGAAGAGUGUUGUGGUAUUCUAGCAAAGCUAAGUAAUAUCUAGAAUCUUCCAAAGCCUUUUUUAACUUCUUUGUUAUCUGAACUGCCUUUUCUUGCACUGUAAAAGCUUGUUGUGAUGAGCUUGAACUGUGUAGAGAAUUGUUCAAAUGAGCCACUCAUGAAUUGUCUUAACUCAGCUGGAAUGCUGUAGUGAGCAACGUAUGAUUAACAAUGUGUUACACUGCUCCUUGAUUUGUUCUUUAAGAGUUCAAUUUCAAAAUAAUUCGAGUAGUGGGUCACUACUAAGAUCAUCAUUCCCAUUUAAUCUGAAUAGAUCUUCUACCAAUCUUGGACCAAGGGCACAAAAUAAUAGCAUAUAGUUAAAGUGGCUGUUUUGUAUUAGUAUUAGUUCCAGAUUUUUACCCUGGAUACUGUAUUUUAAAUGGGACAUUCAUACAAGGAUAAAAAAAAUUCCUAUUUAAUAUUUAUAUCCAUGUAGCACCCACAGG
Molecule: long non-coding RNA, 3248 nt
Organism: Dermochelys coriacea (leatherback sea turtle)
Lineage: Eukaryota; Metazoa; Chordata; Testudines; Dermochelyidae
Exons: 3
Source: RefSeq, a predicted model, not a curated record